AACGAACGCUGGCGGCGUGCUUAACACAUGCAAGUCGUACGAGAAAGGGACUUCGGUCCUGAGUAGAGUGGCGCACGGGUGAGUAACACGUGGAUAAUCUGCCCAAUGGACCGGGAUAACACUUCGAAAGGGGUGCUAAUACCGGAUAAGCCCACGGGCUCUUUGGAGCUUGCGGGAAAAGGCGGGGACCUUCGGGCCUGCUGUCAUUGGAUGAGUCCGCGGCCCAUUAGCUAGUUGGUGGGGUAAUGGCCCACCAAGGCGACGAUGGGUAGCUGGUCUGAGAGGAUGAUCAGCCACACUGGAACUGAGACACGGUCCAGACUCCUACGGGAGGCAGCAGUGGGGAAUUUUGCGCAAUGGGGGCAACCCUGACGCAGCAACGCCGCGUGAGUGAUGAAGGCUUUCGGGUCGUAAAGCUCUGUCAGAGGGGAAGAAACCUCUGGAGGAUAAUACCCUUCAGAAUUGACGGUACCCUCAAAGGAAGCACCGGCUAACUCCGUG
This 501-nucleotide ribosomal RNA is filed under the name uncultured organism. Its description in RNAcentral is "bacterial SSU rRNA". It matches the Rfam family "Bacterial small subunit ribosomal RNA", at positions 29 to 507 of the family's 1533-position model. The record is from RNAcentral.